UGCAGUCGAACGAUGAACCAUUUCGGUGGGGAUUAGUGGCGAACGGGUGAGUAACACGUGGGCAAUCUGCCCUUCACUCUGGGACAAGCCCUGGAAACGGGGUCUAAUACCGGAUAAUACUCUUGCAGGCAUCUGUGGGGGUUGAAAGCUCCGGCGGUGAAGGAUGAGCCCGCGGCCUAUCAGCUUGUUGGUGAGGUAGUGGCUCACCAAGGCGACGACGGGUAGCCGGCCUGAGAGGGCGACCGGCCACACUGGGACUGAGACACGGCCCAGACUCCUACGGGAGGCAGCAGUGGGGAAUAUUGCACAAUGGGCGGAAGCCUGAUGCAGCGACGCCGCGUGAGGGAUGACGGCCUUCGGGUUGUAAACCUCUUUCAGCAGGGAAGAAGCGAGAGUGACGGUACCUGCAGAAGAAGCGCCGGCUAACUACGUGCCAGCAGCCGCGGUAAUACGUAGGGCGCAAGCGUUGUCCGGAAUUAUUGGGCGUAAAGAGCUCGUAGGCGGUCUGUCGCGUCGGAUGUGAAAGCCCGGGGCUUAACCCCGGGUCUGCAUUCGAUACGGGCAGACUAGAGUGUGGUAGGGGAGAUCGGAAUUCCUGGUGUAGCGGUGAAAUGCGCAGAUAUCAGGAGGAACACCGGUGGCGAAGGCGGAUCUCUGGGCCAUUACUGACGCUGAGGAGCGAAAGCGUGGGGAGCGAACAGGAUUAGAUACCCUGGUAGUCCACGCCGU
Molecule: ribosomal RNA, 729 nt
Filed under: Streptomyces sp. YIM 63140
Lineage: Bacteria; Bacillati; Actinomycetota; Actinomycetes; Kitasatosporales; Streptomycetaceae
Description: bacterial SSU rRNA
Rfam family: Bacterial small subunit ribosomal RNA
Source: RNAcentral